UUCCUGUUCUGUCUCUUGUAGAAAUAAUUAGUGGUCACCCAUUAGAUAAUUUUACUGACGAAUACAUGAGAUUUACUUGUUCAACACAAAACUCUGGAUAUGUUUACGGUGCAUCAUACCGGCUGUCAUGUAGCGCGUACCUGCCGCUAGAGGGCACUGAUCUAAUCACGUGUGAGGCAAAUGACCAAUCAGAAGGCGUUUGGAGCUGGGGAUCUGUUGACAAACCUUAUUGCAGAGAAAUUGCUUGUCCGGAACUAGAAGCACCAAUUAAUGGAGCUUUAACCUAUGACACAGUAUUAACAAGACCGUUACGUAUUAUGUCGUGUAAUAACCUAUUCGAUAUACCAGACAUGGGCACAAACUUUAAUGGACAAUUUUUUAUGUACAGACGAUGGAAAUUGGACUCCAUUUGAUACUGUGCCAGACUGUAUAGAACUUAAGAAUCCUCGAUAUGUGAAGCUACCGGUUGAGAUAUUUUACUAUGGCGGCAAUUGUGGCGAUGAGGCGACUAUGGCAGAAAUUAUGGCGAAUUUCCAAAAUAUAAUUGAAACAAAACUUAGCCCAUUAUUCACAAUAGUUUGCCCAUCUGGAGAAACCUGUCUUGUAGAAGAUAUUGUAGUAACAUUCUGACCAAUUCAGACUCGCAAGAUGAGAUCUCUGUCCUGGACAAUAAACGGUCGUCAUUUUCGUUCUCAAGAAUACGAAGUGUCAACUAGAGAACAUGAAAUCGAAAAACGAAGCACAGAGACCCAUUUGCUAAUUUUGGAAUUUUAUAUCGUUAAUCCUUUAAACUUAACCAACACAACAUUUUUAGAUGCAAUAACGUAUUACGACGAUAUACAGCUCAACAUAAUGAAACCGGCAGAUCAAGAACUGAUCAACA
This is a long non-coding RNA of Ruditapes philippinarum (Manila clam), 883 nucleotides long. RefSeq lists it as uncharacterized. The record is from RefSeq and is a predicted model, not a curated record. Lineage: Eukaryota; Metazoa; Mollusca; Bivalvia; Venerida; Veneridae. The transcript has 4 exons.